AUAACGACUCUCGGCAACGGAUAUCUCGGCUCUCGCAUCGAUGAAGAACGCAGCGAAAUGCGAUACUUGGUGUGAAUUGCAGAAUCCCGUGAACCAUCGAGUCUUUGAACGCAAGUUGCGCCCUAAGCCUUCUGGCCGAGGGCACGUCUGCCUGGG
RNAcentral lists this ribosomal RNA (156 nucleotides) under Arabis pycnocarpa. Its description in RNAcentral is "5.8S ribosomal RNA". It matches the Rfam family "5.8S ribosomal RNA". From Rfam's summary of the family: 5.8S ribosomal RNA (5.8S rRNA) is a component of the large subunit of the eukaryotic ribosome. It is transcribed by RNA polymerase I as part of the 45S precursor that also contains 18S and 28S rRNA. Lineage: Eukaryota; Viridiplantae; Streptophyta; Magnoliopsida; Brassicales; Brassicaceae. The record is from RNAcentral.